Molecule: unclassified non-coding RNA, 340 nt
Filed under: Hevea brasiliensis (rubber tree)
Lineage: Eukaryota; Viridiplantae; Streptophyta; Magnoliopsida; Malpighiales; Euphorbiaceae
Source: RNAcentral
GGAAAGUCUCAAUCUGCGGGCUGAGGCUGAGCAAGAAAACGCUCCUUUUUUAGGUUCAAAAUUUGUUGUUAAACAGACAAAAUGGGGCCUCCACCCCCAUUAAUCAAAUGAUUACUAGUGCUGCUAUGAAUGAAUCCAUCACCUUCCUGGGUUAAGUUCGAGAUUUAAUGGGUCUAAUUACCCUGCAUUGCUGGUAAAUCGGGAUUAUACGCUUGGCGGUAAAACUUGAAACUGUUGGGGGUUGGGCUGAGACCGGCAUCUUGUUGCAAUGCUAGACAAGUUCAUAAAAGGCCCAACUUGUGUGAUUCCCGAUUCGAAAGUUUUCAGAUUCCAAUAAGAC